UUUGUCUUUGAUGAGGAGAGAGAGACAAGAUGGCAGAAGCCAAUAUGAAGCAGUUGACCCCAGACUUGUGUGUGUCUUAAGGAAUUUGAUGAUUGUACCUCUGGAGAAGCAACAAUUCCUGAAUUCCGUAUUGCUCAGCCAGGGACCAUCAAAUGCCUACCCAGGCACUCUCACCAAGCCCAACCUAUUUUUCAUCUGUUGCCCAUCUGAAGGGGUCGUGGCACCAGAUGCUAGCAAUCGCAGAAGAUGAUGAGCGUACCCAUUAGAGAACGCUUACAGCUGAAGAAGCUUUGCGCGGUAACCUGUGCCCUGCAUCCAAUACCUUGACUAGAACUGCAGUGCAGGGGGCAGCUUUCUUCAUUUAACAAAAAGGAUGGGGGUAGCGGAGACCUAUCGGGUGCAGUGACCUUUUCAACGAAGGCAGACUGUGUGCCAACAUUGAAACAAUUAUCGCAAGAGCCCGUGGGCACCGACUUCCUGUUGAUAACAUGUGGAGCUAAUUACCUUGAAGAAUUGGUGGCAGAUGCCGGUGCCUGCAAUUAAUUGGCCCUCAGGAAGGUCACGCUUGGCUCGGGACCAGGAGUGAAGGCACCAGUCUCCACCAGAGCCAAGCCUCUGGGCAGUCCUACUUUCUCAUAUCCUCCCACCACUGUGGAAGCUGCUUCCGUGUCCCUCCGCCAGUGCUCUACUGCAGUCUUUCAACCUUUCCAGCGAACCCAAGACGGGAUUGG
Long non-coding RNA from Grammomys surdaster, 731 nucleotides. RefSeq lists it as uncharacterized. NCBI's taxonomy places the organism in Eukaryota, Metazoa, Chordata, Mammalia, Rodentia, Muridae. The transcript is spliced from 3 exons. The record is from RefSeq and is a predicted model, not a curated record.